GAUGAACGCUAGCGAUAGGCUUAACACAUGCAAGUCGAGGGGCAGCACAAGGUAGCUUGCUAUCUGGGUGGCGACCGGCGCACGGGUGCGUAACGCGUAUGCAACUUGCCCUAUACAGGAGGAUAACCCGUCGAAAGACGGACUAAUACUGCGUAUGCUCACAACUUGGCAUCAAGUGGUGAGGAAAGAAAUUCGGUAUAGGAUAGGCAUGCGUCCCAUUAGCUUGUUGGUGAGGUAACGGCUCACCAAGGCAACGAUGGGUAGGGGAACUGAGAGGUUUAUCUCCCACACUGGUACUGAGGCACGGACCAGACUCCUACGGGAGGCAGCAGUGAGGAAUAUUGGUCAAUGGGCGCGAGCCUGAACCAGCCAAGUCGCGUGAAGGAUGACUGUCUUAUGGAUUGUAAACUUCUUUUAUACGGGAAUAACAAGAGUCACGUGUGACUCCCUGCAUGUACCGUAUGAAUAAGCAUCGGCUAACUCCGUG
This 487-nucleotide ribosomal RNA is filed under the name uncultured bacterium. RNAcentral describes it as "partial 16S ribosomal RNA". It matches the Rfam family "Bacterial small subunit ribosomal RNA", at positions 28 to 507 of the family's 1533-position model. The record is from RNAcentral.